Molecule: ribosomal RNA, 825 nt
Filed under: uncultured Alphaproteobacteria bacterium
Lineage: Bacteria; Pseudomonadati; Pseudomonadota; Alphaproteobacteria
Description: bacterial SSU rRNA
Rfam family: Bacterial small subunit ribosomal RNA
Source: RNAcentral
AGUCGAGCGAGGUACAAUACCUAGCGGCAGACGGGUGCGUAACAUGUGCCGAAUCUGCCUUUUGGUUCGGAACAACACGGGGAAACCUGUGCUAAUACCGGAUAAGUCCUUACGGAGAAAGUUUUAAUGCCAAAAGAUGAGCCCGCAUUUGAUUAGCUAGUUGGUGAGGUAAAAGCUCACCAAGGCGAUAAUCAAUAGCUGAUUUGAGAGGAUGAUCAGCCACACUGGGACUGAGAUACGGCCCAGACUCCUACGGGAGGCAGCAGUGGGGAAUCUUGCACAAUGGGCGAAAGCCUGAUGCAGCGAUGCCGCGUGAGUGAAGAAGGCCUUUGGGUUGUAAAGCUCUUUUGUCGGGAAAGAUAAUGACUGUACCCGAAGAAUAAGGUCCGGCUAACUUCGUGCCAGCAGCCGCAGUAAUACGAAGGGACCUAGCGUAGUUCGGAAUUACUGGGCGUAAAGAGUAUGUAGGCGGCUAGAUAAGUUAAUUGUGAAAGCCCAAAGCUUAACUUUGGAAUUGCAAUUAAAACUAUUUAGCUGGAGUAUGAUAGAGGAAAGCGGAAUACAUAGUGUAGAGGUGAAAUUCGUAGAUAUUAUGUAGAACACCAGUUGCGAAGGCGGCUUUCUGGAUCAUUACUGACGCUGAGAUACGAAAGUAUGGGUAGCGAAGAGGAUUAGAUACCCUCGUAGUCCAUACCAUAAACGAUGAUUAUUAGAUGUGGGGAAUUAUUUCUCUGUAUCAUAGCUAACGCGUUUAAUAAUCCGCCUGGGGAGUACGACCGCNAGGGUUAAACUCAAAUGAAUUGACGGGGACCCGCACAAGCGGUG